AAAGAAAGCGUAAUAGCUCACUGGUCGAGUCGGCCUGCGCGGAAGAUGUAACGGGGCUAAACCAUGCACCGAAGCUGCGGCAGCGACGCUGAUGCGUUGUUGGGUAGGGGAGCGUUCUGUAAGCCUGCGAAGGUGUGCUGUGAGGUAUGCUGGAGGUAUCAGAAGUGCGAAUGCUGACAUAAGUAACGAUAAAGCGGGUGAAAAGCCCGCUCGCCGGAAGACCAAGGGUUCCUGUCCAACGUUAAUCGGGGCAGGGUGAGUCGA
This 264-nucleotide ribosomal RNA is filed under the name Escherichia coli. RNAcentral describes it as "partial 23S ribosomal RNA". It matches the Rfam family "Bacterial large subunit ribosomal RNA", at positions 1125 to 1387 of the family's 2925-position model. Lineage: Bacteria; Pseudomonadati; Pseudomonadota; Gammaproteobacteria; Enterobacterales; Enterobacteriaceae. RNAcentral also lists the same sequence under 1 other name. The record is from RNAcentral.